This 934-nucleotide long non-coding RNA is filed under the name Numida meleagris (helmeted guineafowl). RNAcentral describes it as "lncRNA (ENSNMEG00000001808.1)". Lineage: Eukaryota; Metazoa; Chordata; Aves; Galliformes; Numididae. The record is from RNAcentral.
AGCCCGGUCAGCCCGCUCCGACCGGGCUGGGGGACGGGGGCGGCCCGCGGCGCGCACCCAGCCCGGGCGGACACACGCUCCCGCGUGCAGACAAAGGGCGGGGGCACCCCCGGCCCCGACGUGCGGCUCCGUCCCGGAGCCGGGGGGGAAGGGAGGGGGGGGGGGGGGGGAAGAAGGCGGGCCAGCGGGGGGGGGGGGGGGGGGGGGGGGGGGGGGGGGGACAGAAAGUUCGGCAUCGACGGGGCGGGAGGUGGGGGCGCUGCCCCGCGCCUUUGUUCAGCAGGGAGAGGACCCGCGGCGGAGCCGAGCCGACCGCGCAGAUGGGCACGCACCCGGCAGCGCGGCCCUGCGCCCGUGGGACGAGGGGGAGGAGGGAGGCAGAAGGUUCCCCUUGCAGCCUCCCCCACUCUUUCCCUCCCUCCAAGGAGGUUUAGCGUGAGGGAAGUUUUGCGCCAGAGCCGAGGAGAGAUGGAGGAGGUGGAAAGUUGGGGGGCGACGGGGGCGAGGGUACGGCGGGACCCAGCUGGGGGGGGGGGGGGAGCGGGGACCUGCCGCCGCCGGCGGCUCUUUGUCUGCUCGGGCAACUUGAACAAAAGGAGAAACUCGGGUGAACUCCGCAUCUCUCCCGGAUUAGCUCAUCUUCGGCAACUUUAUCUGGAGAGAUCGAGGCAACUUUCUCCCAUCUCUCCUGCCUCUUCAAAGCGCUCGGCCCCGCUGUAGGCUCGUGAGGAAACUGGGGUUCGCGGUGUAAAGAAAGCAGAAGGUACGACUUGUCUUCGGUCUUAUUGUUCUCGGCGCGCUCCCUCGCCCCCCCGCCGGCCGCGCUCCGGCUGCGGAGUGCGCGAGGGGGGCGGCUGCGGCCGGGGCCGCUCUUUGUACUGCGCGAAGCACAUGCAGGUAUGGGCUGGGGGAGAGCCCCGUCCUUCUGUGCCGG